This 2003-nucleotide ribosomal RNA is filed under the name uncultured Isochrysis. Its description in RNAcentral is "partial Eukaryotic large subunit ribosomal RNA". Lineage: Eukaryota; Haptophyta; Isochrysidales. The record is from RNAcentral.
GGGUUGCCCCUCCCGCAUAUUCUACACCCAUCAAGUCGUUCCACAGUAACAGACUAGAGUCAAGCUCAACAGGGCUUCUUUCCCCGCUGAUUCUUCCAAGCCCGUUCCCUUGGCUGUGGCUUCGCUAGACAGUAGAUAGGGACAGUGGGAAUCUCACGAAUCCAUUCAUGCGCGUCACUAAUUGGAUGACGAGGCAUUUGGCUACCUUAAGAGAGUCAUAGUUACUCCCGCCGUUUACCCGCGCUUGGUUGAAUUUCUUCACUUUGACAUUCAGAGCACUGGGCAGAAAUCACAUUGCGUCAGCACCCUCGCGGGCCAUCGCAAUGCUUUGUUUUAAUUAAACAGUCGGAUUCCCCUUGUCCGCGCCAGUUCUGAAGCGGCUGUUCGUCGCGCAGGGAGAGCCGGAGCGCUCCUAGGCCGUCCGCCGGACGGCCGCGCGGGAUCCGCAGCCGUGAGGCCGUAGUCCCCGCGCAGCCAGCCGGCCUCGAGCCUAGGACCCCUGCGCCCAGCCUUCAGAGCCAUUCCUUCUCCCGAGGUUGCGGAACCAUUUUGCCGACUUCCCUUACCUACAUUGCUCUAUCGACUAGAGGCUGUUCACCUUGGAGACCUGAUGCGGUUAUGAGUACGACCAGGCGUGAGAACGAACCGCUCCCCCGGAUUUUCACGGGCCGUCGGGAGCGCGCCGGACACCCCAAGACUUAGGGUGCUUUGCCUGCCGUGUAGCCCUCGCUCCGGCUAAACCGAUUCCAGGGCAGGAGGCAGUUAAGAAGAAAAGAGAACUCUUCCCAGGGCUCCCGCCGGCGUCUCCGGGUUCGUUCGCGUCGCCGCCCACCAUCCACGCGCUGGCUCGGGAAUAUUAACCCGAUUCCCUUUCGACGGACGGGCUGACAGAACCAGCCGCGUUCGGCGGAGUUUUCCUGUCUCUUAGGGUCGGCUCACCCGUGUCCAACUGCUGUUCACACGGAACCUUUCUCCACUUCAGUCUUCAAAGUUCUCAUUUGAAUAUUUGCUACUACCACCAAGAUCUGCACCGGGGCCCGCUUCACCCAGGCUCGCGCCCAAGGCUGCGCCGCGAGCCCCGCGCCCUCCUACUCGCCGGCGCCUCGCGCUCGCGCCGGCGGCCGCGCAUCGGUGGUCCGCUUGAGCGCCAUCCACCCAUCCUGGCAACCAUCCUCCGCCCGUCGUCCACGUCCACCUCAUCCCCGCUCGGCCGCGCGCUGCGGAUGCGCGGCUCGCGCCCGCCGAAGAAGCCUCGGGCCAGCGCUGCGGAGAGCUCGACGCUCGCUCGCGCUCCUCCGCUGCUCCGUGUUUGCUCCUACAACGUGCUCGCGCAGACGCACCUCGAGACGCACAGCCACCUCUACCGCGGCGCGCCGCCCGACGCGCUCGACGGGCCGACGCGGCUCGCGCGGCUCAUCUCUCAGCUCGCCGGCCUGGGAGCGGAUGUGCUCGCGCUGCAGGAGGUGGAGCCGCCUGUCUUUGCCGCGCUCAGCCAGGCGCUCGGCGCGUACGGCGUGCGCGGCGUGUACAAGCAGCGCACCGGCGCCGGCCAGCCCGACGGCGUGGCGGUCUUCCUCCGCACGCCGCGGCUGCAGCUGCUGUGCGUCGAGGAGGUCGAGUUUGCGGCGCUGGCGAAGCGGGAACCCGACCUCGUUGUGCCCCCGCCGAGCGCCGAGCUCGCGCUGCGGCUGCGCAGGCAGGCGGACAAGGGCCAGGUCGCCCUCCUCGUGACCGUCCUCGACACACAGAGCGGCGCCCGCCUCGUCGUCGGCUGCACCCACAUCUUGUUCAACCCGAGCCGUGGCGCGGUCAAGCUCGGCCAGGUGCGAGAGCUCGUCACGAGGGCGCAGAGGGGCGCUGCGGCGGCGGGCGCGGGCGUCGUGAUCUGCGGCGACUUCAACUGCUCGCCGACGUCGCUGCUCCGCUCCUACCUGGGCGGCUCGCCGGUCGACGCGCCGCUGAGCGAGGAGGAGCUCUGGGACGGGUCGGCAAGCCUCAAGUGG